RNAcentral lists this transfer RNA (72 nucleotides) under Planctomycetota bacterium. RNAcentral's name for it is "tRNA-Met". It matches the Rfam family "tRNA". Rfam says of the family: Transfer RNA (tRNA) molecules are approximately 80 nucleotides in length. Their secondary structure includes four short double-helical elements and three loops (D, anti-codon, and T loops). Lineage: Bacteria; Pseudomonadati; Planctomycetota. The record is from RNAcentral.
GGGUGUGUAGCUCAACGGCAGAGCGCGGGCCUCAUAAGCCCGUGGCGCUGGUUCGACUCCAGCCAUCACCCA